CGUAGGGUGCAAGCGUUGUCCGGAAUUAUUGGGCGUAAAGAGCUCGUAGGCGGUUUGUCGCGUCUGCUGUGAAAAUUCGGGGCUUAACCCCGGACUUGCAGUGGGUACGGGCAGACUAGAGUGUGGUAGGGGAGACUGGAAUUCCUGGUGUAGCGGUGAAAUGCGCAGAUAUCAGGAGGAACACCGGUGGCGAAGGCGGGUCUCUGGGCCACUACUGACGCUGAGGAGCGAAAGCAUGGGUAGCAAACAGGAUU
This 254-nucleotide ribosomal RNA is filed under the name uncultured bacterium. Its description in RNAcentral is "partial 16S ribosomal RNA". It matches the Rfam family "Bacterial small subunit ribosomal RNA", at positions 526 to 779 of the family's 1533-position model. The record is from RNAcentral.